This 373-nucleotide ribosomal RNA is filed under the name uncultured bacterium. Its description in RNAcentral is "bacterial SSU rRNA". It matches the Rfam family "Bacterial small subunit ribosomal RNA", at positions 958 to 1320 of the family's 1533-position model. The record is from RNAcentral.
AACGCGAAGAACCUUACCAAGGCUUGACAUAACACCGGAAAGCAUUAGAGAUAAGUGCCCCCCUUGUGGUUCGGUGUAACAGGUGGUGCCAUGGCUGUCGUCAGCUCGUGUCGUGAGAUGUUGGGUUAAGUCCCGCAACGAGCGCAACCCUUGUUCUGUGUUGCCAGCAUGCCCUUCGGGGUGAUGGGGACUCACAGGAGACUGCCGGGGUCAACUCGGAGGAAGGUGGGGACGACGUCAAGUCAUCAUGCCCCUUAUGUCUUGGGCUGCACACGUGCUACAAUGGCAGGUACAAAGAGCUGCGAUACCGUGAGGUUGAGCGAAUCUCAAAAAGCCUGUCUCAGUUCGGAUUGGGGUCUGCAACUCGACCCCA